This 14848-nucleotide long non-coding RNA is filed under the name Capsicum annuum. RNAcentral's name for it is "long non-coding RNA (CANN_LNC000263)". The record is from RNAcentral. Lineage: Eukaryota; Viridiplantae; Streptophyta; Magnoliopsida; Solanales; Solanaceae.
CAUCUAAAACAUCCGCUAACUUGCAGUUAUCCGAACUGUUUGAAAAUAUCUUGUGACUAACUUCAAUAAGAUUGAUUGUUGAAAAGUGAUUAAUUUUAGAAAAAUAUUUGUGUAAAAUAGAUUUAGAUGACUUAGUAGAGAUUUAACCAAGUCUAAGCAAAUGAAAAACAAAUAAGCACAUAAAAGGGAAAAGACAGGAGGAAGUAAAAGAUUUAAACCAUUGGGCCCAAAUCAACGAAACCUGUCCUAAUCUAAUUUAGGCUUUCGACCCAUUUUUCACCUGUCCUAAUCUAUGUUUUCGAGCCUUUUUGGCCCAAAAUCCACUUCACCUGUAUUAAAUUUACAUCUUUGGCUUCGAGGCCCGAAAUGAAUAAAAAUAAAUAAAUGAAGGCAACAAUGAAUGUGAGACUUUCAAGUCUCCUUUGCCGCUUCAAGGAUAGGACUUUAGCCCAUUUCUUCUUCUUUCGCCUCCUUGUAUUCGGUAUGCCAUAAGAUUGAUAUUUGGACUUAGUCUUUCAAAAUCGACUCAGGGUUAUUAGGCCUCGAUGGCCCACAAUAGACAUGCAUAGGAAAAGGAGUCUAUGUAGGACUCGAACGUAUCCACAUGCAAAAGAAAAGCAAACUAAUUAACAUAUGUUCAAAUGUUACCUAACACAUAAAUAACGACAUGAAAAGAGAACAUUUUUAUGCAAAAAUGAAAAUAAUAUUAGCAUGAUUUACAUAAAAGAGAUCAUAUCGGUUUACUAAUCCCUUUUUCUCUUUUUUUUCGGGAAGGUAUCAUAUUAAGUUCUCCUGACUAAAACAUAUACUUCAAACAUUUAUCAAAGAGAUCAGUGGAAAACGUGGCUUAAUAUCAGUAAAGAAAAAACUUUAAGAUUUUUAGCCCUAUGAACCAAAAUUAGGCCAAGAUAGAGAAAUAUUAAUGAACGACCAACCUAAGCGACACAAAAUGAACUUAGAAACUUUAUUUUUUGCAAAUAAAUAAGACAAGAGACUAUUAUCGAACUUAAAUGACAUUUGAAUAUAAGUCCAACAUUACUAAUCAAGAGAAACAUACAAUCAGUGACAGGCCAAAAUAGGCAAGAUCAAAGUUUAUAUCUAAAAGAGAAAGGAAAAUUCGUCAUAAUUGGUAAAUCCAAAACAAGCCAAAAAAGGGAACAAAUAGUAGAUCAACAAAGAUAAGGAAAUUAUGCUUCCAAGAAUAUUGGGGAAGUGUACAGUAAUACAAACAGAGAGAAAAAUAAGCAGGAAGAACCGAACAUUUUCUAUCGCAACAUAUAAUUCAGCGGAUUUGAAAUGCCUAAGUAGUCUUAAUUAUGAUGAAGAGAUAGACCAUAUUUUACACAAUUAACAUACAAAGAUGCACACGACUAGCAAUCUUCAAGUUGAAUAUACUACAAACUCAGGAUCAUCCUCUCUUUGACCAACUCGAACUGAACUGUCAAGGGUCGAAGAAAAGAUCUUUGAAGGUUUAUAGGAUUAUCGAUCUUACCAAGGACAUUCACCCACUAUUCUAUGGACUUUAAAGGUCAAAAGAAUUAGGAGGCAGCCCGUUAUCUAGUCAAUACAGCAGAUUCUAGGCCAUCAGUAACAUCGAACUAGAAACAAAAUUAUCAAAAUGAAACCAAAACUUACUCUAAGAUGACAUAACGAGACUAAAACAUGGAUAUUUAGCUAAAGAGAUAGAAAAUCAGACUACAAUAUUGGAGUAUAAAAGUGUCAUGUCGGCAAUUAAUAAAAUCUAGCAUUACAGUGAUUUCAGAAGCGAAUAUGACAUCCCUUCGUCAUUAUAAUUUAGCAUAUAGGAGAGAACAAGCAAUGACACACUCGAAAAGAAUGAAAUAGUCGGAACAGCUACCAAGAAAGGACUUUAAAUCAAACACAACAAGCUUUAGCAAGAUUCGAACCCAAAAAAUGCAACAGAAGGCUUUUAGCCCAAAAUAUGAGUUAAAGAUGACUAAACAAGCGAGUGUCAUAUAUAUGUAAGAGAAAACAACACAAAAACAUGGUUCAAGCUGCAUAACAGACCAUAAGCUAAAGAAAAAGAAAUUUUGCACCAAUACGCGGGUAAAGCAGUGUAUACCAUUGAACUACUAUAAAAAUCCUAUUACUAGCAUUAUCAAAUGAUUGCAGCAACGUAUUGAUUUGAGAAGAAAACCAUGUAAUAAUAAUUAUUACUGACAAACUAUACAGCCAUUAAAGGCAUCUACAACAGCUAAUUCCCAGCAUAGAAAAUUAUCGUAAAUAUCAUUAUAUCUACAGAAUGGCGAGAUAAAGAAGAAAUAAACGAAACUAAAUAGAAUGGAGAGUUACCGGUUUCGGAGCAGCAAAAUAGAACCUCGAGCUCCUUCGGAGUUCACCACCACCGGAAAAUUCAAUGCUGCUACGAAAAUAUUUACUAGCCGACUACUAUUCCUUCAAAUUUUACUGAAGAAAAUUCUCUUCUAUACUUGCGACCAAUUUUUUUUCCCUUUUUUUGUGUGUUUCUGCUUUUUGAAAAAAAUUUCCACAUUCUUUUCUUUCUCCAAAAGGAUCUAUAUAUAGAGAACAGAGACCCCCUCCCAAAUAUUGCUCCAUCGAUGUGGGAUAAAGUGAUUCAAGGGAAAAUUAGGGAAUUUUUCAAAAGGGAAUUCAAAAUUUGAACUCAAGAUAAGAUUACCCCUCACAAAUUAUACCAAUUUUGUGGUUUCUUGAGGGAAUUCAAUGGGGGUUUACCAAUGGAAUUUGGGGAAAAUUGAAUCCUCCCUCAAAUCAAUAAAAAAUGCCCAAAUAUGUACCAAAUUCGUACCAUUAUCCCGAGAUUUGCGGAGUUAGCCAUUUGGGGGAGACGCCUGAGCACUUCUAGAGAGUUCUUAGCAUCUUUCUCGUACAAAUCAGCUGAGAUGCCUGAUGAAGAUGAAAAAGAAACGGGUUGGGGUCGGGUUUCGCCGUUGGAUGCGAGUCGGAGACGGGUCGAUGGUUUGCUGGAGUUGUACGCCAUUUUUAACUGUUGUUGUCUUUUUUGCGUAUUGUACGCAGCUAUUGCUGUUGUACGCUGAUGGGAUUUUUUUUUGGCUGAAGCUGUUGUUGUUAAAGAAAAAACUGGCCGGGUCAGGGGGUUUUGGAGUUGGGCUGGGCAGUGGUGUGUGCUGAAAUUAAAAGGAGAAAAAAAAAUGGGCUGAUGGGUUUAGGAAAUUAGAAGGAUUGGUUUUGGAGUAAUUGAAGAGUGGGCUUCCAGGUGUUGGGCCGCUGGGCUGGCAGAAUUGGGUUGUGAUUGGGCCCAUUUAACUGUUGGGCCUAUUUAAAGGGGAAAUAAAGGCUGGUGAUGCUUUUUGUUAAAAUUGUUGGGUUAUUUUUUGGUAGAUUAGGGAUUUAGGUAAUUUUUUGGGUGUUAAUUUAGAAAAUAACCCCAACUAGAUUUGGGGUUAUUCAAAAAAUAAUUUCAAUUCUAAUUUAGCCUAUUCUAUUUAAAUUUUGAUCAAACUAAAAGUCAAUCGGCCAAUUGCAUUGCAAUUGUAAUUUAGUUUCAAUUAUAAUCGAAUUUAAUAGAUUAUUUAAAUUAAAAUGAAGUUCGAUAGGAAUUAACUCCUCAUUUAAUCCCGAGCUUCUUGAUUUAAUAAAAUCAAACACAUAUUUAUCCAAAUAAAUUAUCUUUAAGAAUAAAUUAUAUUUAAAUUAAGAUUUUAAUUCUUUGAAUUUAUUUCCAAGCUCAGUCUCAAUAAAAGUCCAAUUUUGAUGAAAAUAUUGAUUUAAAUAACAUCAUUUAUACAAUCUCGUAUAUGUAAAUACAAAAAUAUAAUUAUCACUUAAAUGACAAAUUUAGCCCAAAUAAAUAUUUUUAAAAUGCAUUUAUUUGAAAAAAAUCCAAACCCCACUAGGUGGGAAUAUAUUGGGUUUGUUGUUGUUGUUGGAAAAAAUAAUUAUUGUGAUUUUAUUUGAAAAUCGAAGAAACUCAAGAUUAAAUAUAGUUGUGGAGGGAAAAAAUUAGGUGUCAACAACUGCCCCCUCCAUUUGAGUAGGAUGGAUGCAAGUAAUCCUGGGCAAAGGGAGGUUGACGUUCCUAAUUUUUGUCCGACCAUAAAUUCAAAUCUAAAAGAGGUUGGUUUUCGCACGAGUUUUGAAUUUACGGUCGGACCUCGGUAUCAGGUUUCCUAUGUAUACAAGGUUACAUGAGAAUUUAGGCCACUUGCAGUUCAUACAGCUUGAUUCAAAGCACGAUUUCAAAAAAAAAUUCACAAGCUAUAUUGGUUUUGGAGUUUUUGAUAAAAUCGAAAAGCUGAAGAAUAAAGGGAUUUGGGGAGAGGUUGGAAUGCAGUCAAGUUUUCAAAAUAGAGUCCAACCUAUAUAUCCCUGAGAAUCGAGGAAUCAGACUGCUUGUAGUUCGACUCGAUAGGCAGAAAAAAUAGUCUCUUAUUUUAGACGGUCUUUGGCUCGGGAUUAGUGACAAGUUGUUUAAGUUAUGAAAAAGAGGCUUACAACAUCUUAACCAAGAAUGUAGGAUCCUUCACAUCUAUAGGCAAGAACUUACCUGGACAUAAUUUUCAAAACUCUAGGUGCACUAUCACUCGAAUUUGAAAAAAAAAAAAGUUUACCCUCGGUGUGAGUUUACAAAUAUACCGAAGGUGAGUUAGGGGUGUGGUUAGAUGAUGGUGGUGAUCAUCCUUUAGCUCGCGUCCAAAGAGUUUGACGUCCCUCUCUAUACUAUGUCUCAUUUUGCUGCUAAAAAAGAGUUCUACGUUGUGUUGCAUCCUAUCUAGAGUCAUCCACACCAAUGGUUUUAAUUUAAUAUUUCCAUCCUCUCGAAUGCUUUCGACAAUGUUACAAACAAAGAGUGUUAGUGCUAAACAUAAUUCGCAAAAGAGGUAUAUAGUCUUUACCAUAUCUCCACGUGAGUUGUCACCUGAAAAGUAAAGUCAUCCUUUCAUGUACUUGUUUGGAAAGAGAUAACUUGCAGCAACAGACACAACAACCCUCUUGGUCGUUGCACAACUAUCUCGUUUGUCGGUUGAAUAUGUCUUAAAAAUGGAAUGACUUUUUUGGACACCAAUAACACUUCAUGCAGGACGGUCCCUACAACUGGGUAAUCUUAUGCUAAGGUGAAUAAUUCUUUGCAUGUGACCUCGGGUAAGUCAUGCGCAUCUUUUGUAUCGAUAUGAUUUAUUGAUUUCCCUUGAAUUAAUAAUCUUUGGAUAAUCUUGCACAUUAUUUGAUGUUGGAUACAAGGUGACUUACAGAUGUCCUUUGAAUUGCUAGCCUUUAGGUAAUCCUGCACAUUAUCCAACCUUGGAUAAGAGAUGGCUUACAGAUAUCCCUCCAAUUUCUAGCUCUCAGGUAUUCAUGCACAUCAUCCGACUUUGGAUACAAUAUGACUUAUAAAUAUCUCUCAAAUUGUUCGUCUUUGGGUAAUCCUACAUAUAAUCGAUUUUGGAUAUGACGCGGCUUAUAGAGAACCCUUGGACUUAUCAAUUUGAUCAUCUCAUAUAUUCUCCGGUACGAAUUUAGUUGUGACUUAUGGAUGACCUUUAAAUUAUCAAUCUUAGGGUAACCUUGCACACUAUUCUGUUAGGAUGUCGUUGCAGCUUACGGAUGACCUAUGCACUAUCAACUCAUAGGAAAUCUUGCACACUAUCCUCUUUCAAAUAAUAUGAAUUAUAGAUGAUCCUAGGAUUGUCAAUUUCUAGGAAGUCUCAUAUGUCGUUCGCUUUCAGAUAGAGACUUGAAGAAAUCCCUUUGAAUCAUGUGUUUGUUAUGUAGUCCGAUGUUGAUUCAUAAAAUGAUGAGAUAUCCUCGACACCAGCGUAUGAUAUCUUACAUGUCAAUAGAUAUUAGAUGAUGAUGAUAUCCUCGAUGCCAGUGUAUGUUAUCUCACAUGUCAACAGAUAUUAGAUGCUAAUGAUAUCCUCAAUGCCAGUGAAUGCUAUCUCACAUGUCAACAGCUAUUAGAUGAUGAUGAUAUCCUUGACGCCAACGUAUGCUAUCUUGCGUGUUAACAGAUAUUAGAUGUUGACGAUAUCCUCGAUGUCAGUGUAUGCUAUCUCAAGUGUCAACAGAUAUUAAACAUUGAUUAUAUCCUCAACACCAGCAUAUGCUAUCUCACAUGUCAACAGAUAUUGAAUGCUGAUUAUAUCCUCGACGCUAGCAUAUGCUAUCUCGCAUGCCAAUAUAUAUUAAAUGCUGAUGAUAUCCUUAAUGCCAGCGUAUGCUAUCUUCCGUGUCAACAAAUAUUAAAUGUUGAUGAUAUCCUCGACGCCAGCAUAUGAUAUCUCGCACGUCAUCAGAUAUUUAAUGCGGAUGAUACCCUCAACGCCAGUGUAUGAUAUCUCACGCAUCAUUAGAUAUUUAAUGCAGAUGAUACACUCGACGUCAGCGUAUGAUAUCUCGCACGUCAUCAGAUAUUUACUGCAGAUAAUAUUCUCGAUGCCAGCAUAUGAUAUCUCACGCGUCAUCAGAUAUUUAAUGCAGAUGAUAUCCUCAAUGCCAGCGUAUGAUAUUUCAUGCGUCAUCAGAUAUUUAAUGCAGAUGAUACCUUCGAUGCCAGCGUAUGAUAUCUCGCGCGUCAUCAGAUAUUUAAUGCAGAUGAUAUCCUCGAUGCUAGCGUAUGCUAUCUCGUGCGUCAUCAGGUAUUUAAUGGGGAUGAUAUCCUUGAUUCUAGUGUAUGAUAUCUCACGCGUUAUCAGAUAUUUAAUGUGGAUGACAUCCUCGACGCCAAGGUAUGCUAUCUCGCGUGUCAACAAAUAUUGAAUGUUAUGGCUCUCUCGAUAAUGAAAUGACCCUUUUGACAAUGGCAUGAAAUGAUUCUCUCGGUGAUGAUAUAGAAUGGCCCUCUCGGCAAUGGCAUGAAAUGGCUCUUUCGGCAAUGGCAUGAGAUGACCCUCUUGGUAAUGAGAUGAAAUAGUUUUCCUGGUGAUUUGAAAAUAAUUUUACCUGAUUCCGUUUGUCUGUGUGUUGCUUUCUACAUGUACCUGUACUCAAGGUAGAUAGUUAGUAGACACAAUGUCGCUCUCACUGGCAACCACAGUCAAGCUUUAUAAUAGUUUAAUGACAAAUACUGAGCAUCAUAAUUUGAAUGACUUAUUCUGCUAUUAAUUUUCUCUUUUUGAAGAAAUGAUUAAAUAACAGAUCUACCAGAUGUAAGUAAAUAAGGCAAAACCCUUGUUUGGGGAUUACUCAACUACUGUUUGCUUCGCUUCAAGGCGAAUUUUGAGGAUGACUUUCUGCUCUUCCUCCUAUUGAGUGAUCCUUUGAUUGUUGUAUUUAUUGUGCCAGCUCCCUUGAAUUUACCUGUUCUCAGGGUAAAUAUUUAGCAGACACAAAGUCGUUUUGCUAAAAACUAUUUUUUUAGAAAAAUUCUAAAUUCAAUAUUUAUAAAAAGAUACGGCACAUUUGUUUGUCCUUCAUGGUCUCAAGAAGUGAGAUAGACAAUUUAAAAUGUCCUCAAUAAAUGGGUAUUAAACCCAUCUUCGGGGCCACUAGACAAUACCGUUCUUGAGCAUUAUAUACUUUGGUGUGGCUCGCAACUCGCUUGGAGAUUUUUUGAAAAAAAAAUUUCAUUUUUUGUGUACUGAUCCUUGCAUCCAUAGAAAAAUAAUUAGUUUUUGAGUGAAACUACUCCGUGUUGACCUUCUUCAAUCCUUGGUUUGCUCUUUGCCAUCUUUCGGGUACUCUGUCAUGUUGGGACUUCCACCCUGACUCCCCAUUCCAAUAGAUGCGUAGGCAAUUACUAAGUAAAAGAUUUGUAUAGAUUUUUUAAAGUAGUCUUAAUUUUAGAAAAUAGUUUCAAAAUCUUCUGUAAAAGAUUUAGAAAAUCACUGUCUGUCAUGUACAAGCCUGACGAACUUCUUUAUCUUGCUUCUGACUAUGUCUGACAUUUGACGGAGGAUUGCUAAGGAUUCAGCAUCGUUGAGGCUUUAUCAUAAUUUCUAUCAUAUCCGAAAAUUUAGUCUAUCUAGACUUUAUCGCAGCUGGUGAUUUCCAAAGCUUGACUUUGACCGCUGGUGCUGGGGGAUUUGAAAUAUAUUUCAAUAUAUCAGCAAAAAUUUUGAAGACCUCCUCAAAAUUUUGUCCCAGUUUAAAGUUGUUUGAGACUAUCUCAACUCGAGAGGAUCCAAAGCCUUUGUUAGUCUUCGUUCUCUUUGUUGGAUGAUGAUCUUCCUCUUGUGAAUUUUUGAGAUUUCUUUUCAAAAAUUCUGCCCCAGUUUCCAUUUUUUGGGGUUAUAUGACCGAGCCGUUGGGGUGCCUACAUAUCCUAUUGAAGCAGAAAUUAGGUCAAACGUAGUUUGAGACUAUGCUAAGGAUAUAUAGAAAAAUCUAAAAGGUUGACUGAAGCCAACAUAGGCCGCCUACGUAUCUCAUUCUUGAGAAUUUAGGUCAUCAUGUAGUUCAUUCAUAAAAGAAAAAGAUAAAUUAUCCUAAGGGGUUGAUCGAAGCCGACAUAGGCCGCCUAUGUAUCCCUUUCUUAGGAAUUAAGGUUAAACGUUGUUCGCACAUAAAAAGAAGGGAUAAAUUAUCCUAAAGGGUUGACCGAAGACGACAUGGACCACCUACGUAUUCUUUUCUUGGGAAUUCAGGUCAGACAUAGUUCGUACAUAACAGGAAAAGGAUUCUAAGCAAUUAUACAUCAUAAAUCAAAUAUUACCACAAAGGCGAUUACAGAUAAACCAAGGAAACAAAACUAAAAUAUCCUUCAAACAUAGUAUCUCUUUACCGCAUCGGAAUUGAUUAGUUUGGUCCACUUUUGACCAUUCAUCUCAAAUAGGAUUAGGGCUCCUCCAGGAUGGGAGUCUCUCGAUUUUCAAAUUCCUCUACAUCUUCCACUAACUGCUCCUCAUCUUCUUCUUCUAUUCAUCAUCAUUCCCUUCACUUUGUUCGUCUAAUCCUUUUCAUGACAUGACAUUGGGAGGUUUUUAAAUUAUUGCUACUAAAAUAAACCAUGUUAGAUGAUAAUAAGAUAAUAAAUCACAUUUCAAAAUAACUUCUUAAAUAAAGGGAGACCUUUUGGAAAAUAAAUAAAAACUAUGGCUCAUAACCCGCGCAAAUGCGGGCCCAUGCCUUUUGAAAGCUGUAAAAUAUGAAACAAAAAUUUGAGACAUAAAAGGAUGGAUCACGUGGCCUCCUUCAGAUCAUCACCAAUUUUUACAACUACUAGUAAUUGCCCUUUCAUCUAUCCAGACGGGCGAUGGCUUAUGAGCAGAGUGGAGUCCAAUUUUGCAAAGCCUCUCCUGGUGCAACCUUCCUUACCCCGUUAGACUUUGGGAAAUACUCUAGUAUAUCAUUUCAUCCCUCAAAUAGAUUUCUUAUCCCAUCCCCAAGACCAUCAUCCUUUAAUAUCUCACACGCAGGAAAAAACUGGUACUUGAGUGAUGAUGGUUUAGACAAACUUGUCUUUGACUUAUCUCCAAUCUCAUCUUCUUUUCUUGGUUGGUAUCCUAACUCAUGUUUAGAUGCUUUUUUCAUGAUCAAAAUGUGUUCAAUAAUUCCUUCAAAAUCCUUACUUAAAACAAUUAAGGAAGUUACGACUUUUUCUGUCUUCUCCUCUUCUUCUAUCUUUUUGGGAUUUUUUGAAUUCACCUUAGUGGUAGUCUUGCUAGACACCUAUUAGCCCGCUAUUUUGAUCAUGUUAACUAUGGAUCCCCCAUGAUUAGGCAGUGGAUUACUGUUGAUAUUUGGUGUCGUUGACUUAAGAGUGAUGACUUUCUGAUCAAUCAAGUCUUAAUGCUUCAGGUUAACGCAAUCCUCGGUAUUGUGUCCUAUCGCUCCCGAAUGAUAGGCAUAAUUUUGAUCAGCACGAUAAAAUUAAGAAUUGGGAUUAAUAAGUUUUGGUUGGAUCGUAUGUAAAUGACUGGCGUCCUUUAAUCUCCCGAAGAGUUAGGUACAACUUUUAGCCAAUGACGUGAAGUUUUGGGGAGGCCUUUUCUUGAGGUUUGGACGUGGGGGUUUAUAAUGAUUAUGAGUAGUAGGAGGAGGUACUUGAUGAUAAUUUGGAAGCGUUUGGAUGUUUUUUCAAUUAUUUGGGAGGGCAGCUUGACCAUGAGGCUGAUAAUUUGGUUGUGAAACUUGAUAUUGGGGUAAAAUAUUUGGUUGUGGAGCUUGGUAUUGGGAUUGGAUAUUUGGAAGUGGAUCUUGGUAUUGAGAUUGAAUAUUUGGGAGUGGAUCUUGGUAUUGAGAUUGAAUAUUUGGGAGUGGCGCUUGGUAUUGAGGUUGGAUAUUUGAGCGUGGAGCUUGGUAUUGAGAUUGGAUAUUUGAAAAUAGAGCUUGGUGUUGGGAUUGGAUGUUUGGAAAUAGAGCUUGGUACUGGGACUGGAUAUUUGGAAAUAGAGCUUGGUACUGGGAUUGGUUAUUUGGAAGUAGAGCUUGGUAUUGAGGACGAGAGGAAGUUGGGUUGUGGGUGUAGAGGAAAUUGAGAAAAUUUUGUGGAAUUCGAGAGUAUUUUGGUAGGAUAUGGGAGGAAUUUAGCAGAUUUAAAAAUGAAUUUUGUGGAUUUGGAAGUGGAUUCUGUGGUUUCGGAUACGAAUUUUGCGGAUUUGGCGGUGGACUUUGUGGGGUUAGGGAUGAAUUUUCUGGAUGGUAAGCAUUGGGUUAUCUUCUUGAUUGGUGUUUUGGGCAAGUUGAGGAGCGAAAAUGGAUGACGUGUUAUGUGGAUGACCCCCGAGAAUAGUCGUACUUAGGGGAGGGAUCUGGAGUGGAGGCCCAUGUAUUCCUGGGGCAAGAACGUUGACAGUGAUAGCCAGGUUAGCCAAGUCUCUAGUAUGGUUCAUUUCUCCCUGAAGCAUUUUCAACUUUCUCACGAGUUCAGUAAUUAUCUCAUUUUGUUUUACUAUUACAUUGUCCCUAAUGGCCAAUGUCUUUUCUUCAUCACUUCCCAUCAUGUUUGAGUGAUGGUUAGGGUAUAGGAUUUUAUGCACUUCUGACCGGGUGAAGUAAGGAUGUUCUCCCAACUUAUUUCAACACGAAGUAGUUUUCUAUUUUCUGUAAAGUGAAACAACUCAAAGGCAGAUAUGUUAGUUUCCACAUGUGGUAAGUAAUGCAAGAUAAUUGACAAGGAAUAACCACGUAGAGUUGUUUGUGUCAUAGCCAAAUUGAUCCACAUGAGCAUAGUGGAUAAAUUUUCCUUUGAUUCAAAUAUACGCACAUAAACACAUAAGUCAUUUAUAUCGCAUAAAAAAUUAUAAUAAUGUGUAUCCUAACUAGGGUGACCCUUUUGAGCCAAGUGAUACCCCCAAAUUACAACUCUCGUUAGAAAGUGUAAGCAAUCGCUGUCAAAUAUAGAACCCAACUGGGUUGGGUGUCGAAUCCCACAGGGAAUACUAUGAUCACUAAGUAUUGCGAUUAUUAUUAGACUGUUGGUCGAAGGUUCCAAGAUAAGGGGGGUUUGGUUUAAGUGCACAAUAAUAUUAUCAGUGUAACGAUGAGAUGAUAUGUGUAAUUGUAUUUGAUCACAGAGAAUGACAAGUUAGGGUUAUGUCCACCUUUUAGCUUCUACUUCUCUAUUAACUAUGAGUACUACGGAUUUUAUACAUGCAUGCACUUAUAGAGAGUCGUAUUCUUAUUCUAAAUCCAAGUGUUUUUCAACCAUCAAGGAUUUAUUCACCUUGACUCUCUCGAACCCAAGGUGUACAACCAAUUGUACGAACUCCCCAAGAAGUUAAUCCUGCUAGGGCAUUAGCUUGUAAAAUAGAGGUUGGAAACCCUAUUUUCUCGUCACACUCUCUUUUCCAAACAACAACUUUUCUAUCUAACAAGUUAUUGCUAUAUUGGCGCAUUCCCUAUGUUUGCAACCANNNNNNNNNNNNNNNNNNNNNACAGAAAUCAACAUAACAAUAUUCAUCAUACCAAAACUUAGACCGAACUUGGCGAUGAAGAUGUCUAGCGAAAAUAAGAGAGAAAACACGUUUCUCUCUCUCUCUCCUCAAGCUAAGCCGUUUUUCUGGUGUUCCAAAAUAUUACAGAAUCUGAAUAAUGUGAAUAAUGCAUUAAAAAUUCAGCAAUAAGGCUUUUAAUAACAUCCUUCUCUAAUAAAUUGCUACUGCAUCCUUAACUAUUUAAAAAUAUUGAGUUUGCCCGGAAAAAGUUUCCAUGCAUCACAUUCAGUCCAACAGCUGCUUUCAUUUUUAUGUGAAGUUUUUCCUUUGCUGUCCACAGGUCCCCAAAGUGCUGAAAUCUUCCUCAUUAGUACCUGAAAAGCAUGCUAAUCAAAUAGGUCAGCUUACUUAACUAAAAAUGGACUAAAAGUGCAAGAAGUAUGUAUUUUAUCCUCAAAACUUAGCUAAAAUAUGGGUAAAUUAUGGUGCUUAGACGUAUAAAUACGCCCAACAUCACCAAGGAUUUAGGCCUGACAAAUUUUGAAGAAAAUAUAUGCCUUUUUAAAGCCAAUCCAUUAUCCCCCAAUUUCAUAGAUGACAUAAAUGCCUACAAAAGUUGCACAAAAGGAAUACAACCUUUAGGGAAAGGAAAAUAACAUGAGAAAAAGAAUGAUGUCCCACGCAGGGGAUAGAAAAUAAUAAUUCCUGAAUGCUUCUUUUAUCGGCCUUCGCCCUUUUAGCUUUGUCCACUUCUUGUAAUUGGCGACAUCUGUUGAUGAUCAAGCGAUUAUCGUAUAACUGUGCUCUAGAUGCAACCGUCCAAAUUGAUCAAUUUUUUAUUUGGCGUGCUUGAAUUCCUUCCUCAAUUGGUGUACGAUUAAGACAUCCUUAACGAAAUAAGUAAAGCAACGUUUCUCCCGACCCCCAAAAGAUAUUGGAUUGGAUUAAACAAACAUAUAUUUCUUUAACACAUAAAUAUGGUUUGUCUGUAAUUCACUUGGGGUCAAUAGAUGCAGGACAAGUUUUCUAAUAAGCCCACUACCCCCUCAGGUAUUGUGUCGUUUUAGGCUCAUGCCUAAAAUAGGAUAUUGGUUUUGCUCUAUCCUAGGUGUCUAGAGUGGAUUUGAACUAGGUUCCCAAGUGGACCAACUUGCAUUUGAAAAUACAAACAGCUAUCAGACACCUCACGUGCUAAUAAACCUUCGUAUUUCAACACUUUAUUUGGAAUUGAUCAACAGGGGCCGAGACAUCUACGAAACCCCAAAACAAUUCAGUAAAUUAAUAUAAAAUUAUGCUAUGAGAUGCAAUAAUUAAAUUUCGCAAAAUCAAAACAUAUACAUACGUAAGUAAUUUAAACAGUUAGUCAAAAAGAUGAAAUCAAACAUUUGGUUAAAACCUAGUUAAAAAUUCUCCAGCAGAGUCGCCAUUUCUAUUUUGCAAAAAUUUUAACUUUUAGAAUUGCCACUUAAUUUUUGAAAAGGAUUUAAGAAAACCUUUAUAAAUUACUUUAAGCAAUCCAAAACAGAAAAAUCAUUUAAAUUUGACGAUUCUGAGUAAACAGUUCUUAUUAACGUUUUAGAAAGGUUUUGAAGCAUCUACAACGUUCGCUAACUUGUGGUUAUCCGAACUGUUUGAAAAUAUCUUGUGACUUAACUUCAAUAAGAUUGAUUGUCGAAAAGUGAUUAAUUUUAGAAAAAUAUUUGUGUAAAAUAGAUUUAGACGACUUAGUAGAUUUAACCAAGUCUAAGCAAAUGAAAAGCAAAUAAGCACAUAAAAGGGGAAAGAGAGAAGGAAGUAAAAGACUUAGGCCAUUGGGCCCAAGUCAACGAAACCUGUCCUAAUCUAAUUUAGGCUUUCAAUCCAUUUUUCACCUGUCCUAAUCUAUGUUUUCGAGCCUUUUUGGUCCCAAAUUUGCUUUACCUGUAUUAAAUUUACAUCUUUGGCUUCGAGGCCCGAAAUGAAUAAAUUACUGAAUGAAUAAAAAUAAAUAAAUGAAGGCAACAAUGAAUAAAUAAAAAGUGAGACUUUCAAGUCUCCUUUGCCGCUUCAAGGAUAGUACUCCCAUUUCUUCUUCUUUCGCCUCCUUGUAUUUGGUAUGCCAAAAGAUUGAUUUUUGGACUUAGUCUUUCGAAAUCAACUCGGGGUUAUUGGGCCUCGAUGGCCCACAAUAGACAUGCAUAGGAAAAGGAGUCCACGUAGGACUCGGACGUAUCCACAUGCAAAAGAAAAGCGAAGUAAUUAACAUAUGUUCAAAUGUUAAUACCUAACACAUAAAUAACGACAAGAAAAGAGAACAUUUUUAUGCAAAAUUGAAAAUAAUAUUAGCAUGAUUUACAUAAAAGAGAUCAUAUCGGCUUACUAAUCCUUUUUUCUCCUUUUUUCCGUGAAGGUAUCAUAUUAAGUUCUCCUGACAAAAAUAUAUUCUUCAAACAUUUAUCAAAGAGAUCGGUGGAAAACAUGUCUUAAUAUCAGUAAAGAAAAAACUUUAAGAUUUUUAGCCCUAUGAACCAAAAUUAGGCCAAGGUAAAGAAAUAUUAAUGAACGACCAACCUAAGCGACACAAAAAUGAACUUAGAAUCUUUAUUUUUUGCAAAUAAAUAAGACAAGAGACUAUUAUCGAACUUAAAUGGCAUUUCAACAUAAGUUCAACAUUACUAAUCAAGAGAAACAUAUAAUCAGUGACAGCCAAAAUAGGCAAGCAAAAGUAAUAUCUAAAAGAGAAAGGAAAAUUCUACAUAAUUGGCAACUCCAAAACAAGCCAGAAAAGGAACAAAUAGCAAAUCAACAAAGAGAAGGAAAUUAUGCUUCCAAUCAUAUUGGGGAAGUGUACAGUAAUCCAAAACAGAGAGAAAAAUAAGCAGGAAGAACCGGACAUUUUCUAUCGCAACAUAUAAUUCGGCGGAUUUGAAAUGCCUAUGUAAUCUUAAUUAUGAUGAAGAGAUAGACCAUAUUUUACACAAUUAGCAUACAAAGAAGCGCACAUGACUUGCAAUCUUCAAGGUGAAUAUACUACAAACUCAGGAUCCUCCUCUCUUCGACCAACUCAAAAUGAACUUACAAGGGUCGAAGAA